ACUAAUAUAGUUUAAAUAAAAACACUUCAUUUUCAAUGAAGAAAUAAGAAUUAUCUUUAUAAGUA
This 65-nucleotide transfer RNA is filed under the name Sadoletus valdezi. RNAcentral describes it as "tRNA-Glu". It matches the Rfam family "tRNA". Rfam says of the family: Transfer RNA (tRNA) molecules are approximately 80 nucleotides in length. The record is from RNAcentral. Lineage: Eukaryota; Metazoa; Arthropoda; Insecta; Hemiptera; Heterogastridae.